ACCCGCACAAGCAGCGGAGCGUGUGGUUUAAUUCGUUGCUACACGAAGAACCUUACCAGGGUUUGACAUGCAAGUGGUAGGAAGCCGAAAGGUGACCGACCCUUCGGGGAGCUUGCACAGGUGCUGCAUGGCUGUCGUCAGCUCGUGUCGUGAGAUGUUCGGUUAAGUCCGCUAACGAGCGCAACCCUCGCUGUGUGUUAUAUGCGUCACACGGGACUGCCGGUCUUAAGCCGGAGGAAGGUGGGGAUGAUGUCAAGUCAGCAUGGCCUUUAUAUCCUGGGCUACACACACGCUACAAUGGCCAACACAAUAGGUUGCUAAGCCGCGAGGUGGCGCCAAUCCAUAAAGUUGGUCUCAGUUCAGAUUGUAGGCUGCAACCCGCCUGCAUGAAGAUGGAGUUGCUAGUAACCGCAGGUCAGCUAUACUGCGGUGAAUACGUUCCCGGGGCUU
This 450-nucleotide ribosomal RNA is filed under the name uncultured Leptolinea sp. RNAcentral describes it as "bacterial SSU rRNA". It matches the Rfam family "Bacterial small subunit ribosomal RNA", at positions 919 to 1382 of the family's 1533-position model. The record is from RNAcentral. Lineage: Bacteria; Bacillati; Chloroflexota; Anaerolineae; Anaerolineales; Anaerolineaceae.